RNAcentral lists this long non-coding RNA (232 nucleotides) under Mytilus galloprovincialis (Mediterranean mussel). Lineage: Eukaryota; Metazoa; Mollusca; Bivalvia; Mytilida; Mytilidae. The record is from RNAcentral.
CAACUAUUUAAUUUUAGAUUUAAAAAGUUUGAAGAAGAAAUCUUUAAUUGAUUUGUAAAAUCUUGACAUUUGUUUUGUGUGAAAAAAAAACCAUGUAAUGUCAAAAAUUUGAUCACAAUCCAAAUUCAGAGCUGUAUCACGCUUGAAUUUUUUGUCCAUACUUGCCCCAACUGUUCAGGGUUCGACCUCUGCGGUCGUAUAAAGCUGCGCCCUGCGGAGCACCUGGUUGCAU